UUUCCGUAGGUGAACCUGCGGAAGGAUCAUUACAGAGUUCAUGCCCUUACGGGUAGAUCUCCCACCCUUGAAUAUUUAUACCUUAGUUGCUUUGGCAGGCCGUGGAAACACCAUGGGCUCCGGCUUAUGCGUGCCUGCCAGAGGAAACAAACUCUGUUUUUAGUGAUGUCUGAGUACUAUAUAAUAGUUAAAACUUUCAACAACGGAUCUCUCGGUUCUG
Molecule: unclassified non-coding RNA, 220 nt
Filed under: plant metagenome
Description: partial contains small subunit ribosomal RNA, internal transcribed spacer 1, and 5.8S ribosomal RNA
Source: RNAcentral